GACGAACGCUGGCGGCGCGCUUAACACAUGCAAGUCGAGCGAGAACCAUGCCUUCGGGCAUGGGGACAGCGGCGAACGGGUGAGUAACACGUGGGUAAUCUGCCCUUGACAUCGGGAUAGCCCGGGGAAACCCGGAUUAAUACCGAAUAGCCUCCGAAGCCUUCGGGCGUCGGAGAAAAGGUAGCUUCGGCCUCUGGUCAAGGAUGAGCCCGCGGCGGAUUAGCUUGUUGGCGGGGUAACGGCCCACCAAGGCGACGAUCCGUAGCUGGUCUGAGAGGACGAUCAGCCACACUGGGACUGAGACACGGCCCAGACUCCUACGGGAGGCAGCAGUGGGGAAUCUUGCGCAAAUGCGGGAAAACCGUGACGCAGCGACGCCGCGUGGGGAAGAAGCC
RNAcentral lists this ribosomal RNA (395 nucleotides) under uncultured bacterium. Its description in RNAcentral is "bacterial SSU rRNA". It matches the Rfam family "Bacterial small subunit ribosomal RNA", at positions 28 to 415 of the family's 1533-position model. The record is from RNAcentral.